AACGCAUCUUGCGCUCCUUGGCAUUCCGAGGAGCAUGCCUGUUUGAGUGUCAUGGUAUUCUCAAUUCUCUUGGUUUUUGCUGAGAUGAUAUUGGACUUGGAGGCUAUUGCUGGCAUCGUUUCAGAAGCCAGCUCCUCUUAAAUGAAUCAGUGUGAACAUUCACUUCAUACUUGGUGUGAUAAUUAUCUGCACUGUGUCUGAGUGAUAGAGUUUCAUGCUUCGAAUCGUCGCGAGACAUUACUUUGACUUCUGACCUCAAAUCAGGUAGGAUUACCCGCUGAACUUAA
Molecule: unclassified non-coding RNA, 287 nt
Filed under: uncultured fungus
Lineage: Eukaryota; Fungi
Description: partial contains 5.8S ribosomal RNA, internal transcribed spacer 2, and large subunit ribosomal RNA
Rfam family: 5.8S ribosomal RNA (bases 1-52)
Source: RNAcentral